GGAACUAGCUCAGUUCAUAGAGCGCCUGCUUUGCAUGCACAAGGCCCUGGGUUCAAUCCCCAGCACCA
This 68-nucleotide transfer RNA is filed under the name Marmota monax (woodchuck). Its description in RNAcentral is "tRNA.Ala". The stretch from base 6 to 63 matches the Rfam family "tRNA", at positions 8 to 63 of the family's 71-position model. From Rfam's summary of the family: Transfer RNA (tRNA) molecules are approximately 80 nucleotides in length. Lineage: Eukaryota; Metazoa; Chordata; Mammalia; Rodentia; Sciuridae. The record is from RNAcentral.